UACGUAGGGUGCGAGCGUUGUCCGGAAUUACUGGGCGUAAAGAGCUCGUAGGUGGUUUGUCGCGUUGUCCGUGAAAACUCACAACUCAAUUGUGGGCGUGCGGGUGAUACGGGCAGACUGGAGUACUGCAGGGGAGACUGGAAUUCCUGGUGUAGCGGUGGAAUGCGCAGAUAUCAGGAGGAACACCGGUGGCGAAGGCGGUGAUCUGGGCCGACACUGACGCUGUAGAGCGAAAGCGUGGGGAGCGAACAGG
This 253-nucleotide ribosomal RNA is filed under the name uncultured bacterium. RNAcentral's name for it is "partial 16S ribosomal RNA". It matches the Rfam family "Bacterial small subunit ribosomal RNA", at positions 524 to 776 of the family's 1533-position model. The record is from RNAcentral.